RNAcentral lists this transfer RNA (81 nucleotides) under Pseudomonas cichorii. RNAcentral describes it as "tRNA-Arg". The record is from RNAcentral. RNAcentral also lists the same sequence under 1 other name. Lineage: Bacteria; Pseudomonadati; Pseudomonadota; Gammaproteobacteria; Pseudomonadales; Pseudomonadaceae.
GGGCCUGUUGGGCAUAGGCCAGACGCUGACGCAAUUUCGGGUCGCGUCCGGGGUCGGAGAUGAUGUCUUCGACAGGCUCGC